Long non-coding RNA from Oncorhynchus keta (chum salmon), 1807 nucleotides. RefSeq lists it as uncharacterized. The transcript is spliced from 5 exons. The record is from RefSeq and is a predicted model, not a curated record. NCBI's taxonomy places the organism in Eukaryota, Metazoa, Chordata, Actinopteri, Salmoniformes, Salmonidae.
CUAGAGCAGGGAUCAUCGACUAGAUUAGAGCAGGUAUCAACAACUAGAUUAGAACAACUAGAGCAGGGAUCAUCUACUAGAUUAGAGCAACUAGAGCAGGGAUCAUCUACUAGAUUAGAGCAGGUAUCAACAACUAGAUUAGAACAACUAGAGCAGGGAUCAUCUACUAGAUUAGAACAACUAGAGCAGGGAUCAUCUACUAGAUUAGAGCAGGUAUCAACAACUAGAUUAGAACAACUAGAGCAGGGAUCAUCUACUAGAUUAGAGCAGGUAUCAACAACUAGAUUAGAACAACUAGAGCAGGGAUCAUCUAGAUUAGAGCAGGUAUCAACAACUAGAUUAGAACAACUCGAGCAGGGAUCAUCUACUAGAUUAGAGCAGGUAUCAACAACUAGAUUAGAACAACUAGAGCAGGGAUCAUCUACUAGAUUAGAACAACUAGAGCAGGGAUCAUCUACUAGAUUAGAGCAGGUAUCAAAAACUAGAUUAGAGCAGGUAUCAACAACUAGAUUAGAACAACUAGAGCAGGGAUCAUCUACUAGAUUAGAACAACUAGAGCAGGGAUCAUCGACUAGAUUAGAGCAGGUAUCAACAACUAGAUUAGAACAACUAGAGCAGGGAUCAUCUACUAGAUUAGAACAACUAGAGCAGGGAUCAUCGACUAGAUUAGAGCAGGUAUCAACAACUAGAUUAGAACAACUAGAGCAGGUAUCAACAACUAGAUUAGAACAACUAGAGCAGGGAUCAUCUACUAGAUUAGAACAACUAGAGCAGGGAUCAUCUACUAGAUUAGAACAACUAGAGCAGGAUCAUCUACUAGAUUAGAACAACUAGAGCAGGGAUCACCUGCUAGAUUAGAAGAACUAGAGCAGGGAUCAUCUACCUGAACAGGGAUCAUCUACUAGAUUAGAACAACUAGAGCAGGGAUCAUCUACUAGAUUAGAACAACAAGAGCAGGGAUCAUCUACUAGAUUAGAACAACUAGAGCAGGGAUCAUCUACUAGAUUAGAACAACUAGAGCAGGGAUCAUCUACUAGAUUAGAGCAGGUAUCAACAACUAGAUUAGAACAACUAGAGCAGGGAUCAUCUACUAGAUUAGAACAACUAGAGCAGGGAUCAUCUACUAGAUUAGAACAACUAGAGCAGGGAUCAUCUACUAGAUUAGAGCAGGUAUCAAAAACUAGAUUAGAGCAGGUAUCAACAACUAGAUUAGAACAACUAGAGCAGGGAUCAUCUACUAGAUUAGAGCAGGUAUCAACAACUAGAUUAGAACAACUAGAGCAGGGAUCAUCUAGAUUAGAGCAGGUAUCAACAACUAGAUUAGAACAACUCGAGCAGGGAUCAUCUACUAGAUUAGAGCAGGUAUCAACAACUAGAUUAGAGCAACUAGAGCAGGGAUCAUCUACUAGAUUAGAGCAACUCAAGCAGGGAUCAUCUACUAGAUUAGAACAACUAGAGCAGGGAUCAUCUACUAGGUUAGAACAACUAGAGCAGGGAUCAUCUACUAGGUUAGAACAACUAGAGCAGGGAUCAUCUACUAGAUUAGAACAACUAGAGCAGGGAUCAUCUACUAGGUUAGAACAACUAGAGCAGGGAUCAUCUACUAGAUUAGAACAACUAGAGCAGGGAUCAUCUACUAGAUUAGAACAACUAGAGCAGGGAUCAUCUACUAGAUUAGAACAACUAGAGCAGGGAUCAUCUACUAGAUUAAAACAACUAGAGCAGGGAUCAUCUACUAGAUUAAAACAACUAGAGCAGGGAUCACCUACUAGAUUAGAACAACUAGAGCAGGGAUCAUCUACUAGAU